This is an RNA transcript of Phacochoerus africanus (Common warthog), 2983 nucleotides long. It is a transcript of the gene named TAFA chemokine like family member 3, with no coding region annotated. The record is from RefSeq and is a predicted model, not a curated record. Lineage: Eukaryota; Metazoa; Chordata; Mammalia; Artiodactyla; Suidae. The transcript has 7 exons.
GUCCGGGAGGAGGCGGUGACGCGGGAGGAGGGCUGGCGAAGCGGGGGCGGCCCCCGGAGAGGAAAAGGAGGCGGCGGUGGCCGCUGUGUGCUCGCUGGCGGUCCUGCGGGCAGGAGCCUCGGAAGGACCCUGGCUGAACUCUGCAGAACUGGCCGGGCGGGCCCGGAGCUCCUCGGUGCCCAGAGCGGGCCCGGCAUGACCGUGAUGCCAGUUUGGCCAGAGCCCCUCCGCCUCGGGGACGCAUGAACUUGGUGAAGGGGACAGGGCUCCGGACUAGACAGCACCCGAGCUGGCCGCUCCCGGCUGCAGUCUCCCUUUCGGAGUCUCUAUCCCGGGCUCAGAGGCGAGGAGACUCUCGGGCAGGUAGAGUGAAUCUGAAGCCAGUGGAUGAACAGACAGAAGCUAAAAGAUCCCCAAAAAGGAUGCGUGAGAGGGCCACACAGAACUGGAAUAUGGGCAGCUGGCUGCUGGCUCUUUGCCUGGCCUGGCUGUGGACCCGCCUGGCCUCGGCUUCCUCGCAGCUUCCAACUCCCACAGUCCUUGUGAAGCAGGGCACCUGUGAGGUGAUUGCCGCUCACCGCUGCUGUAACCGGAACCGCAUUGAGGAGCGCUCCCAGACCGUCAAAUGCUCUUGCUUUUCUGGCCAGGUGGCAGGCACCACCCGGGCAAAGCCCUCUUGCGUGGACGCCUCCAUCAUCCUGCAGAAGUGGUGGUGCCAGAUGGAGCCCUGCCUACCUGGGGAGGAGUGUAAAGUGCUCCCGGACCUGUCAGGAUGGAGCUGCAGCAGUGGACACAAAGUCAAAACCACCAAGGUUACACGAUAGCUCUUGGGGUCACAACCUGACAGCUUGCUUGAGCCACAAACUGGAGAAUGGCAGCCGGUUAUCAGCCAGCACAUAUGGAGAUUCAGUUCCCUGGGCCCACGCCCUGCGCCAAGUGCAGCAGCACUCUUUCCAAGGCCAUUGCUAUUAAUCUGCUCAACAGAGAGGGGACCUCAUAUCUCCAGGCUGAUCUCCAGCCACAUACCUGUGAGGCUGGGCUCUCCUGGACACAGAAGAAGGUCAAGAUACAAUUCCUGCCCUUAAGGGUUUCUCAGACCCAGGUUGGUAUGUACCAACCAGAGCCUGAGCCUUCUAGGCCCAGCCAAGAAGGUACAUGAUGGAGCAUCUUCUCUGAUGUGUUUCUGGAAGUGGGUCAGGAGGUGAACUCUGAAAAGCAGACUAAGACUAGCAAGGGCCAUAGAUGCAGCCCUGGACCCCUCAGAACUCUGAAAGCUGACAGACCAAAUGGCAGGAGCAGCAUAGCUGCCCCCCCCCCCCCCCAAGUCCCACUUUGCACCAUCCCUAAAGUGGUAGCCAGGGACUAAGCCAAAAAGCAUCGAUGGCAAAGAGGGUGGGAGAGCUGAUACUUUCUCCUGGGGAGUGUGACACACAGGGCAGUCCUCAAGGCUGGAGUGUGGAGCUUAGCUCCGAUCAGCACAGGGAGGUCGAUUUUUACCUUGCAGGGCACCCAGGCACUCCUGCGUGGCCGGCCAUCAGUCAAUGAGAUGUGCAAAUGCUGUUUUGUUUUCAGUUGCUGGUUUUUAAAGAUUAAGCUGCUUGCUAGUAAGCCGAUUGAACAUCAGCAGUCUUUCCAGGAAAAUCUUUUAAUUAAGUUUACAUAGCAAAAAUUGGUCGCCAUCGUAGACAGUAGUCAAUUAGAAGAUAUGAGAAGGAGAUGGAGCAGGAGGUCGAGUGGGGUCCUAGAGUGGGUGGGGGUUGUGUGUGUGUGUCUGUCUGUCUGUCUGUCUGUCUGUCUCAGGAUGGGAAGGGUCUGGCGGUGCCCCUCCUAAAGCCCUUGAGCCUGCAGGAGGAGGGCAGCUGGCAGCGAUGCCCGGAGAGCUAGCCCUCUGUAUCCCUCGGUGGAUGACCAGUGGAGCGCGGCAGGCCGGGAACGCUGUUUGCGAUUCCCAGCAGCGGGUUGGGUCCCAAGUGAGGACACUGCCUGGAGGGAGGUGGCCCGCGGAGAGGCGACUUCACUGCAGACGGCAAGAAGGCUCAGCCUCAAAGCCGAUUAGCGGGACUCGACGGGUCAGAGCGGGUCAUCCCCAGGGGGACUCUUCCCCCUAAGUUAGCCCCGCAAGGCAGGGGCUUCUGGUUUUUACCCUCGGCGCCCUCGGUGGGCGGCGUCCGCUUGCCGGGUUCCUGCCCCCACACCCCUGCGUCGGGUGGCUGGCGGCGGACUGCGGCGUCCUGCUCGUGUCCCGCCGAGUCAGAUCAACCCAGGUCUCGGGACGCGACGGCACAAUCCCGAGGCCUCAAGGACGCGCACUCGGAGUCGUCUGGGUCCAGCCCGCGUCCGCGCGCCGUCGCGGAAGAAGGCGGGGGAAACGGGCGCGUUUCCGCUGCGGCGUCUGACUGCCGGUUGGAUGCGCCUCGCAUCCCAACACUCAACGGCCUUGGCCUCGACACCCCCAGCUCCACACCGACGUGGGACACUGACGGACCUGGGCCACUCCGUCCCCGGCCCAGCAGAGCGGCCGACGGUGUUGUCUUGGAUUCCCCCAGCUGGCGGGCGCUGCGGCGCUGGAAAGUCUUGCGGCCGAAAGGCUCGGGGCCCUGCGGGUGCAAAUGGAGAAGUACGAAGCCUACAGACACUGCUGGUUCGAAUUGAAGCCCAACUAAAGGCAGCGCCUCCUUGUUUUUAAAAAGCAACUUUACAGAGGUAGAGUUUCUAUACAAUAAAAUGCACCCAUUGUAAGUGGACUUUUUGAUAAGGUUUGGCAUUUAUACCCGCCCCCCACCAUGAUCGGGAUACAGAACAUUUCCGUCUCCUCCAAAGUUCGCUUGUGCCCUGUCCCAGGCUACUCUCCCCGCCACACUCCCCCACCUUCCCCCACUGCCUCCCACAUCUGGGCUGGGGAGGUCACUGGACUGCUUUGUCACCACAUACUAUGUCUUUGUAUUUUCUAGAAUUUCAUAUACAUGGAAUCAUACAGUAUGAA